This 562-nucleotide ribosomal RNA is filed under the name Armases rubripes. RNAcentral describes it as "partial 16S ribosomal RNA". It matches the Rfam family "Bacterial large subunit ribosomal RNA", at positions 1832 to 2625 of the family's 2925-position model. Lineage: Eukaryota; Metazoa; Arthropoda; Malacostraca; Decapoda; Sesarmidae. The record is from RNAcentral.
UCUAUUUGAAGGUAUAAAAAGUCUAGCCUGCCCACUGAUAAAUAUUUUUUAAGGGCCGCGGUAUUUCUAACUGUGCAAAGGUAGCAUAAUCGUUAGUUUCUUAAUUGGAAUCUUGUAUGAACGGUUUGACAAAAAAAAAUCUGUCUUUAAAUUAUUUACUGAAUUUAACUUUUAAGUGAAAAGGCUUAAAUAAAUUAAAAAGACGAUAAGACCCUAUAAAGCUUAAUAUUAAUUUUAUUAUUUAAUAAAAUUUUAAAAAUAUAAAUAUUUGGUAGUUAAUUUUUAUUUUAUUGGGGCGAUAAAGGUAUAAAGAUUAUUAACUGUUAAUUUUAAAAUACAAAAAUAAAUGAAUAAAUUUUAUUUAAAUAGAUGAUCCUUUUUAAAGAUUAAAAGUUUAAGUUACUUUAGGGAUAACAGCGUUAUUUUUUUUGAGAGUUCUUAUCGAGAAAAAAGUUUGCGACCUCGAUGUUGAAUUAAAAUAUCUAUAUAAUUGUAGCAGUUAUAUAAGAAGGUCUGUUCGACCUUUAAAUUUUUACAUGAUUUGAGUUCAAACCGGUGUAAG